CCGGUGGCUCGACCUCAGCCUGACAUCUCAUCUCGGCUGUCUCUGAGCUUCAUCACAUCCACCCUCUUUCCCCUCCCUCCCUAGAGGAAUUGCAUCUUUUGUCCGGAGACGCAGGGAACGGGGUGUUGACCAGAGGCAGUGUGACCCCCGCGUCCGUCAGGCCCCAAAAACUGCCCCCAUUGAGCAGAAGAGGCCUGUGUUUGGGAUGGGAUGGGGGUUGGGAAGGUUACAAGCCAGCGAUCAAGCACAAGACCUGCCCCGCAGCUCACUCCAACUCAACACACUUUCAGGAACAAAGAGGGAAAAACAUGCACAUUUUCUGCUCCCUCAAAAGACACUCCAGCUCCGCUCUUCAAGUUAACAUGAACACAUUCUGCCUGAACAAUGCAGCAGAUGCACAUCAUGGAGAUCAGGGGUUCAGUCUCUCUUACAGUGGCAUCUGCUAAAGUUGCAAUUAGCUGAAAACUGAAAAUAAAUAUUGUUGCAAACACUUUCUUUCUCAAUGCAAUUCAGUAACUGCUUUAUUGGUAUGACAAAUGUUAUAAAUGUAUUGCCAAGUAAAGG
This 564-nucleotide long non-coding RNA is filed under the name Danio rerio (zebrafish). RNAcentral's name for it is "lncRNA (ENSDARG00000117575.1)". The record is from RNAcentral. Lineage: Eukaryota; Metazoa; Chordata; Actinopteri; Cypriniformes; Danionidae.